This 234-nucleotide ribosomal RNA is filed under the name Bacillus paralicheniformis. RNAcentral describes it as "partial 23S ribosomal RNA". It matches the Rfam family "Bacterial large subunit ribosomal RNA", at positions 216 to 447 of the family's 2925-position model. Lineage: Bacteria; Bacillati; Bacillota; Bacilli; Caryophanales; Bacillaceae. The record is from RNAcentral.
GAGAAAGCAAAUGCGAUUCCCUGAGUAGCGGCGAGCGAAACGGGAACAGCCCAAACCAAGAGGCUUGCCUCUUGGGGUUGUAGGACACUCUGUACGGAGUUACAAAGGAACGAGGUAGAUGAAGAGGUCUGGAAAGGCCCGCCAUAGGAGGUAAGAGCCCUGUAGUCAAAACUUCGUUCUCUCCUGAGUGGAUCCUGAGUACGGCGGAACACGUGAAAUUCCGUCGGAAUCCGG